CCUGCCGUUGCCGGCGACCGGCGCACGGGUGAGUAACACGUACGCAACCUGCCCGUGGCAGGGGGAUAAGCGGGGGAAACCCCGUCUAAUACCGCGUAACGCGGCCUAGGGACAUCCCAAGGCCGCCAAAGGGAGCAAUCCCGGCCACGGAUGGGCAUGCGGCGCAUUAGCUAGUCGGCGGGGUAACGGCCCACCGAGGCGACGAUGCGUAGGGGUUCUGAGAGGAAGGCCCCCCACACUGGUACUGAGACACGGACCAGACUCCUACGGAAGGCAGCAG
This 280-nucleotide ribosomal RNA is filed under the name uncultured bacterium. Its description in RNAcentral is "partial 16S ribosomal RNA". It matches the Rfam family "Bacterial small subunit ribosomal RNA", at positions 74 to 354 of the family's 1533-position model. The record is from RNAcentral.